Vidua macroura (Pin-tailed whydah) is the source of this 611-nucleotide long non-coding RNA. RefSeq lists it as uncharacterized. NCBI's taxonomy places the organism in Eukaryota, Metazoa, Chordata, Aves, Passeriformes, Viduidae. The record is from RefSeq and is a predicted model, not a curated record. The transcript is spliced from 7 exons.
CCAUUUCACCUGUUACUGAUGUUGAUGAAGACAAGGCCUUUGUAAUUAAAGCAUGCCCUGGAGUUGAGGCAUGAACAUUUCGGUGUUGAAGAGUGCUGGGAAAUGGCUUCACAGCCUGCCUUCAGAAGGGGAUAGGAGUGUUGCAGCCUACUGUAAAUGAUGUUGAUGCUGAAUCAGGUCUCUGAUCCCCAUGAGGAUAAAUCGACCAAACUGAUACAGUACUUCACUCAAACUGUUAAUGCUAUAACUUCCUGCUGGACCCUGCCUAAUAGCAAAUUUUUAUUUACAGGCUUCCAAAUGUUUCUCAUUGUGAGGUGUGAUGGAGCUGGGAAGUGAUGCACGUGGUAGUGCUGCAAGCAAAAGGUGACACUUGCAUGGAGUUUGAGAAAUAAAAUGGAUGUCUCUGAGGAAGUAACAACUACUGUGCUGUCUGCAGCCUCACUGGGUGAAGAGGCAACUCUGAAACUAGCAUAUGAGGAAUUGAGGAGGUGGAAGAUGGCUGAGAAAUGGGUUACACUUGAGUGAACAGCAUUAAAAAAGCCAUGUGUUUUUACCUCACUGGUUAUGUUUGCCUGAUGCUUAUUGGAGUGAAUAAAAAUCUGUAAACUCUA